UACAGAGGUGGCAAGCGUUGUUCGGAAUUACUGGGCGUAAAGGGCGCGUAGGCGGCCCGUCAAGUCCCGUGUGAAAGCCCCCGGCUCAACCGGGGAACGGCGCGGGAAACUAGCAGGCUUGAGUUCGGGAGAGGGAAGCGGAAUUCCGGGUGUAGCGGUGAAAUGCGCAGAUAUCAGGAGGAACACCGGUGGCGAAGGCGGGUCUCUGGGCCGAUACUGACGCUGAGGAGCGAAAGCGUGGGGAGCGAACAGG
This 253-nucleotide ribosomal RNA is filed under the name uncultured bacterium. RNAcentral's name for it is "partial 16S ribosomal RNA". It matches the Rfam family "Bacterial small subunit ribosomal RNA", at positions 524 to 776 of the family's 1533-position model. The record is from RNAcentral.